UCCCUCCCCCCUGGCAUGCCUGGCACAGAAGUGAGGACCUGGCGGCUGGCUUCAGGGUCUGCAGAACCCUCUCCGUCUGCCUUGUGGUUCCCAAACGGAGCCUCAGCCCAUCCAAAGAUGGCCUGGAGACAGCUGCUUCUCGUCUGCUGUCUCUCAGCUGCUGUGCUCCUCACUACGCUGCAGGAGGGCGCUGGUGCAUCGGUGGGCACCCAGCAGGAGGCAGGACAAGACGUUCGGGAAGAUGUAGAACAGAAGAUCUUCAUGCAGGAAUCAGAUGCUUCAAAUUUCCUCAAGAGGCGCAGCAAGCGGUCCCCAAAAUCCCAAGAUGAGGUCAACGCGGAGAACAGGCAGAAGCUACGGGCCAAUGAGCUUCGGAGAGCGUACUACGAGGAACAAAGGAACGAGUUUGAGAACUUCGUGGAGGAGCAAAAUGAUGAACAGGAAGCGAGAAGCCGGGAAGCUAUUGAGCAAUGGCGCCAGUGGCAUUACGACGGCCUGCAUCCAUCAUAUCUCUAUAACCGCCACCACAUCUGACCUCAUUUUGACAGAGCAGGAAGAUGGAGCUUGAAACUCACAAACCUACCCCAGGUCUGGAGGCUACAGGUCCCAAUUCAAGGUGUCUGCAGAGCCGUGUUCCCUCCCUCUCUUUGCGGGAGGAUCCUGCCCUGCCUGCUGCAGCUUCUGGCGGCUCCAGGGCCUCCUUGGCUUGUGGCUGUGUCACUCCAAUCUCUGCACCUGUUGUCAUGGGGUCUCUGUGUCUCUCUUCUCUUCUUGAUACAACUUUUU
Molecule: RNA transcript, 786 nt
Organism: Herpailurus yagouaroundi (jaguarundi)
Lineage: Eukaryota; Metazoa; Chordata; Mammalia; Carnivora; Felidae
Gene: UCMA
Gene name: upper zone of growth plate and cartilage matrix associated
Exons: 6
Source: RefSeq, a predicted model, not a curated record